Molecule: ribosomal RNA, 162 nt
Filed under: Krascheninnikovia ceratoides
Lineage: Eukaryota; Viridiplantae; Streptophyta; Magnoliopsida; Caryophyllales; Amaranthaceae
Also listed under: 2 other names
Description: 23S ribosomal RNA
Rfam family: 5.8S ribosomal RNA
About the family: 5.8S ribosomal RNA (5.8S rRNA) is a component of the large subunit of the eukaryotic ribosome. It is transcribed by RNA polymerase I as part of the 45S precursor that also contains 18S and 28S rRNA.
Source: RNAcentral
ACUCUCGGCAACGGAUAUCUCGGCUCUCGCAUCGAUGAAGAACGUAGCGAAAUGCGAUACUUGGUGUGAAUUGCAGAAUCCCGUGAACCAUCGAGUCUUUGAACGCAAGUUGCGCCCGAAGCCUUCUGGCUGAGGGCACGCCUGCCUGGGCGUCACGCAUCG